This 399-nucleotide ribosomal RNA is filed under the name uncultured Planctomycetia bacterium. Its description in RNAcentral is "bacterial SSU rRNA". It matches the Rfam family "Bacterial small subunit ribosomal RNA", at positions 9 to 412 of the family's 1533-position model. Lineage: Bacteria; Pseudomonadati; Planctomycetota; Planctomycetia. The record is from RNAcentral.
GAGUUUGAUCAUGGCUCAGAAUGAACGUUGGCGGCGUGGAUUAGGCAUGCAAGUCGAAUGCGAAAGUAGCAAUACUAGUAGCAUGGCGAAAGGGAUAGUAAUGCAUGGGCAAUCUACCCUCGACUCCGGGAUAUGCGGUAGAAAUGCCGAGUAAUACUGGACGCCGUUAGUAGGGGACAUCCCUUGUUAACGAAAGGUCCGCCGGUCGAGGAGGAGCUCAUGUCCUAUCAGCUAGUUGGUGAGGUAACGGCUCACCAAGGCGACGACGGGUAGCGGGUGUGAGAGCACGACCCGCAUCACUGGCACUGAGACACUGGCCAGACUCCUACGGGAGGCUGCAGUCGAGAAUCUUCGUCAAUGGGGGAAACCCUGAACGAGCGACGCCGCGUGGAGGAUGAA